Molecule: small RNA, 726 nt
Filed under: Pan troglodytes (chimpanzee)
Lineage: Eukaryota; Metazoa; Chordata; Mammalia; Primates; Hominidae
Description: retained intron
Source: RNAcentral
GCCGCAGAAUGCCCCUCACAUCGCCCUGGGCCCCCAUCUCAGGCCCCCCUUCCUGGGGGUGCCCUCGGCUCUGUGCCAGACCCCAGGUGAGGAGGCGGGUGCGCAUCCCCUGGGAUCCCGCGUGGAGGCCCGCGGACCCGUCCCUGCCCCUGUCGGAGCCGAGACGGACGGGGUAGGGGGUUGUAAAGGGCCGGCUCGGACCGCCUCGGACCCCCCGACCCCGCGUUGUCCCCCUCCCCACCAGGCUACGGUUUCCUGCCCCCGCCCAGGCGGAGAUGUUCGCCCGGCAGCAGGAGCUCCUGCGGAAGCAGAACCUGGCCCGGUAGGUGCGGGGAGGCGGGCGGGGCCGCGCGGCCCGGGAGGCGGCUGACCCGCGUCUGCCCCCGGCCCAGGCUGGAGCUGCCCGCCGACCUGCUGCGGCAGAAGGAGCUGGAGAGCGCGCGCCCACAGCUGCUGGCGCCCGAGACCGCCCUGCGCCCCAACGACGGCGCCGAGGAGCUGCAGCGGCGCGGGGCCCUGCUGGUGCUGAACCACGGCGCGGCGCCACUGCUGGCCCUGCCCCCCCAGGGGCCCCCGGGCUCCGGACCCCCCACCCCGUCCCGGGACUCUGCCCGGCGAGCCCCCCGGAAAGGGGGUCCCGGCCCUGCCUCAGCGCGGCCCAGCGAGUCCAAGGAGAUGACGGGGGCUAGGCUCUGGGCACAAGAUGGCUCGGAAGACGAGCCCCCC